This 96-nucleotide ribosomal RNA is filed under the name Kocuria sp. HSID16901. Lineage: Bacteria; Bacillati; Actinomycetota; Actinomycetes; Micrococcales; Micrococcaceae. The record is from RNAcentral.
GUACACCCGGUCUCAUUCCGAACCCGGUAGUUAAGGCUCUUAGCGCUGAUGGUACUGCACCCGGUAGGUGUGUGGGAGAGUAGGUCGCCGCCGAAA